GAGACAGCAGCCUCCGCGGGAACACGUAGGUGGCAAGCGUUAUCCGGAAUUAUUGGGCGUAAAGCGCGCGUAGGCGGUUUUUUAAGUCUGAUGUGAAAGCCCACGGCUCAACCGUGGAGGGUCAUUGGAAACUGGAAAACUUGAGUGCAGAAGAGGAAAGUGGAAUUCCAUGUGUAGCGGUGAAAUGCGCAGAGAUAUGGAGGAACACCAGUGGCGAAGGCGACUUUCUGGUCUGUAACUGACGCUGAUGUGCGAAAGCGUGGGGAUCAAACAGGAUUAGAGACCCCGGUAGUCCCUGUCUCUUAUAC
This 308-nucleotide ribosomal RNA is filed under the name uncultured bacterium. Its description in RNAcentral is "partial 16S ribosomal RNA". It matches the Rfam family "Bacterial small subunit ribosomal RNA", at positions 505 to 807 of the family's 1533-position model. The record is from RNAcentral.